Molecule: long non-coding RNA, 334 nt
Organism: Trematomus bernacchii (emerald rockcod)
Lineage: Eukaryota; Metazoa; Chordata; Actinopteri; Perciformes; Nototheniidae
Exons: 3
Source: RefSeq, a predicted model, not a curated record
UGAAAGUGAAAGUAUGAAGUCAGACUUGUCAGAGUGCCAAACGCCAUUUUACAGCUCGACGGAGCAGGAGGACAACAGGCAGGGGGAGACACCUCAUAAUGAACACGUGGUGAUCAGAGAUCUGACCCUAACAUACCAGCAGACUGGGGAAGAUGGGUGGUUUAGAAGAUGAGGAAGAGGACACAUCUUCAGUCCCCAGCUGUCUGUCUCUGAAGAGUGACUGGUCUAAAGAUCAACCUCCAUACUUCAGUAAUGAACCUGGACCCUCAGACACAAAGUAAGAGUUUCUGCUGUAACCUGACCUGAAAAGGAUCCAGUUUUUAUGUUAUCUGAU